AGUGAACGCUGGCGGUAGGCCUAACACAUGCAAGUCCAACGGCAGCACAGUAAGAGCUUGCUCUUACGGGUGGCGAGUGGCGGACGGGUGAGGAAUACAUCGGAAUCUACUUUUUCGUGGGGGAUAACGUAGGGAAACUUACGCUAAUACCGCAUACGACCUACGGGUGAAAGCAGGGGAUCUUCGGACCUUGCGCGAUUGAAUGAGCCGAUGUCGGAUUAGCUAGUUGGCGGGGUAAAGGCCCACCAAGGCGACGAUCCGUAGCUGGUCUGAGAGGAUGAUCAGCCACACUGGAACUGAGACACGGUCCAGACUCCUACGGGAGGCAGCAGUGGGGAAUAUUGGACAAAGGGCGCAAGCCUGAUCCAGCCAUACCGCGUGGGUGAAGAAGGCCUUCGGGUUGUAAAGCCCUUUUGUUGGGAAAGAAAAGCAGCAGGUUAAUACCCCGCUGUUCUGACGGUACCCAAAGAAUAAGCACCGGCUAACUUCGUG
This 492-nucleotide ribosomal RNA is filed under the name uncultured bacterium. RNAcentral describes it as "partial 16S ribosomal RNA". It matches the Rfam family "Bacterial small subunit ribosomal RNA", at positions 29 to 507 of the family's 1533-position model. The record is from RNAcentral.